RNAcentral lists this ribosomal RNA (510 nucleotides) under uncultured bacterium. RNAcentral's name for it is "partial 16S ribosomal RNA". It matches the Rfam family "Bacterial small subunit ribosomal RNA", at positions 28 to 507 of the family's 1533-position model. The record is from RNAcentral.
GACGAACGCUGGCGGCGUGCUUAACACAUGCAAGUCGAACGAAGAGCGAUGGAAGCUUGCUUCUAUCAAUCUUAGUGGCGAACGGGUGAGUAACGCGUAAUCAACCUGCCCUUCAGAGGGGGACAGCAGUUGGAAACGACUGCUAAUACCGCAUACGAUCUAACCUCGGCAUCGAGGAUAGAUGAAAGGUGGCCUCUACAUGUAAGCUAUCACUGAAGGAGGGGAUUGCGUCUGAUUAGCUAGUUGGAGGGGUAACGGCCCACCAAGGCGAUGAUCAGUAGCCGGUCUGAGAGGAUGAACGGCCACAUUGGGACUGAGACACGGCCCAGACUCCUACGGGAGGCAGCAGUGGGGAAUCUUCCGCAAUGGACGAAAGUCUGACGGAGCAACGCCGCGUGAGUGAUGACGGCCUUCGGGUUGGAAAGCUCUGUUAAUCGGGACGAAAGGCCUUCUUGCGAAUAGUUAGAAGGAUUGACGGUACCGGAAUAGAAAGCCACGGCUAACUACGUG